Molecule: transfer-messenger RNA, 349 nt
Filed under: Gammaproteobacteria bacterium
Lineage: Bacteria; Pseudomonadati; Pseudomonadota; Gammaproteobacteria
Rfam family: transfer-messenger RNA
About the family: Bacterial tmRNA, also known as 10Sa RNA or SsrA, is named for its dual tRNA and mRNA-like properties. Its role is to liberate the mRNA from a stalled ribosome. To accomplish this part of the tmRNA is used as a reading frame that ends in a translation stop signal.
Source: RNAcentral
ACUGGAUUCGACGCGGGUCGCGAAACCCCAGGUGCAUGCCGAGGUGCAGUCCACCUCGUUAAUCAGGCUGCAAAAACUUAGCUGCGAACGACAACAGCUACGCACUGGCGGCUUAAGCCCCGCCAGCCCUUGACCGGAGCCGCGCCUGCGCGUCCGGGGGUCUUCAGACCCGUUCAGGGGUCGCAUCUCGCAGGAUCGCGGAGUCGGGAGUCCGGACCGAAGCCGCUAAACCCAACUCGGACUGGUCACGUGUUUUCCCUGCCCGUCGGGUAGCACGCGACAAGAUCAAUAGACCGGGAUAAGCAUGUAGAGCCGAAGGCGUAGGGCUUGCGGACGCGGGUUCGAUUGG